Molecule: ribosomal RNA, 257 nt
Filed under: uncultured bacterium
Lineage: Bacteria
Description: partial 16S ribosomal RNA
Rfam family: Bacterial small subunit ribosomal RNA
Source: RNAcentral
UACAGAGACCUCAAGCGUUAUCCGGAAUCAUUGGGCGUAAAGCGUACCGAUAGGUGGUUGUAAUAGUCUUGGGUAAAAGCCAGAAGCUUAACUUCUGAGUUUGCUUAAGAUACUUUUCGACUAGAGGGGCAAAGAGGUGCUUGGAACGAAUGGUGUAGUAGUGAAAUGCGUUGAUAUCAUUCGGAACACCGAAAGCGAAGGCAGAGCACUGGGUGCCACCUGACACUGCUAGGACGAAAGCGUGGGUAGCGAAUGGG